This 256-nucleotide ribosomal RNA is filed under the name uncultured bacterium. RNAcentral describes it as "partial 16S ribosomal RNA". It matches the Rfam family "Bacterial small subunit ribosomal RNA", at positions 524 to 777 of the family's 1533-position model. The record is from RNAcentral.
UACGGGGGGGAGCAAGCGUUGUUCGGAUUUACUGGGCGUAAAGGGCGCGUAGGCGGUCGUGACAAGUCACUUGUGAAAUCUCCGGGCUUAACUCGGAACGGUCAAGUGAUACUGUCGGACUAGAGUACAGAAGGGGCAACUGGAAUUCUCGGUGUAGCGGUGAGAUGCGUAGAUAUCGAGAGGAACACCUGCGGCGAAGGCGGGUUGCUGGGCUGAUACUGACGCUGAGGCGCGAAAGCCAGGGGAGCGAACGGGG